UCCCCUUUGGAGAUCACUGGAAACAGCUUCUGGACCACAAAUGGGGUGAACUACUGUAUCGAGAAAGGAGAGAGUAAGACUUGAGAGCUAUCUUUUUAGCUCAGGGUGCAGGACCUUCCACCACUGCACCAUAGCUAUCCACUUGGCACACAUUAAGUACUCAACAGAUAUUUGUUGGAUGGAUGGAUACAUGAAGAAAGGAGGAAUAGAGGAAUGAACAAAUGGGUAAAUCACUUUCCAAUUAGUGGAGGGGUAUAUGUGGCAAGCCUCAAAUAAUUCAUGACUACAGAACAUAAUAUGUGAGACAGAAAGCGGGGAAGAGCCUGCCAAUGAGCCUGGGUUAGAUCUGCAGUACAGAUGAUGGGGAGCCAGCAAAGGAUUUCAAGGAUGGUCACAUUUCUGGUAUCUGUGUAGAAAUUAGAUUCAGCAUUGAUCUUCAACCUUGGCUGCAUGCUGGAAUUACCUGAAGAACUUUAACAAGACUGGACUAAGAACUCAGUUAAGUGAAGCAAGCAAGAAUUUCCCAAGUGAUGCCAACUCAAAAUGAAUUAUAUCAAGAAAGGAAAAGCAGCUUUUUCAUCUGGAAAGAACUGGAGACCUUGAACCUAGGCAGCAUGUGCCUUGAACCUAGGAUCAGUAAACAACAAGGAUGGAAAAGACAGUAAGAAUUUGGUCAGAUCACCAUAUCUUUCCGUUGUGCCUUUAGAACAAAAGGAAAGAAAA
Long non-coding RNA from Homo sapiens (human), 723 nucleotides. Ensembl annotates it as LAMA4 antisense RNA 1. Its record names the gene LAMA4-AS1. The record is from Ensembl. NCBI's taxonomy places the organism in Eukaryota, Metazoa, Chordata, Mammalia, Primates, Hominidae.